GUAAAAUGUUGAACUAGAUAAGAAUUGUACAAUUCGUGAAUUUUUUUCAAUUUAUUCAAUAUAUGUGUUAUUUCUUGUUUCAGUGGCCUUGGAUAAAAGUUUACUAUUCUUUGGUGUGCAGAAUCUCCCGUGACAUUUUAUAUGGAGCAUUGUGUGAUGAUAGAUCAAUUCGUAGAGAUGUAUUUGAAAAACAUCCUCUUGUCUUGAAAAUCAGCUAUAUAAAAAUCUACAGGGACAAUGAGGACAAUCACAACUGUUUGACUUUUUAUCCAUCAAUCUCCAGAUGAUUAUCAGCGGGAUGUUCUGAACGACAAAGAAGUUAAAGUUCUUAAAUAGUAACCAAUCUUAUGAUUUCACACCUGAUACCUGGCUGUUCGGGGGACAUAUGUCAAAUAAAUAUGUGAUUAACAGCCGAAGAAAAAUCCCUAAAUCAUCAUUACUUGCCAAUACAUUGAAUAACUUUCUGGUUCCUGGCUUAAUGGAAGGAAACAAAAUAGAAAACUUUUGCAUUACACAGUUAUCUUGUAUCUGUUUUGUGCAAUUAGAAUUUGAAUCUUGAUAACAAUUACACCAAGACCACUGUUAAAUAUUUCAGUAUUCCUUUGAAAAAAUCUUUUAUGUAAAAAAGGUCUUAUUUAAUAAUUUAAUUUAUGAAUUAGAUAUACAGUACAUGUAUAAAUUUGUUUAUGCAAUUUUAGAAUAAUAUUAUAUAACAAGACUUGUUAAGUAAUUUUUUAUUAACGGCCCAUUAUGCUUCAGAAAUUAUGUCAGUUUUAUUUAAAUUUUUGAAAACAGUUUCAAAAAAUAAACCUUUUGCCAUAUACAUAAUUUAAAGAUAGUGAUGCUGAUUUUUUAUGCUCCCCGAAAAAUUUCGGGGGAGCAUAUAGUCGGCGCCUUGUCCGUCUGUCCGUCCGUCCGUCUGUCCGUCCGUUUUCUUGUCCGGAGCAUAACUUGAAGACCCUUGGAGAUAAUUUGGUUAAACUUCAUACAGUGGUAGAGGGCAUUGAGGGGGAGUGCAGUGUCAAAGAACCAUAACUCUAUUCUGCCCGGUUUUUGAAUUAUCUCCCCUUAUAGAAAAAUCUUGUCCGGGGCAUAACUCUAAAACUAUAAGAGAUAUCAACAUGAAACUUUGUAGGUGAAUAGAUCUCAGUGGGUAGAUGUGCAGUGCAUAAGAACAAUAACUCUUUUUGUCCUAAUUUUGGAGUUAUUGCUCUUUGUUAAUUUCAACACUUUGAACUUUGUCCGGAACAUAACUCUCAAACUAUAAGAGAUAUCAAGAUGAAACAUUGUAGGUAGAUAGAUCUCAUUGAGUAGAAGUGCAGUGCAAAAGAACCAUAACUCUGUUAAGCCUUAUUUUUUAAUCAUCUCCCCUUAUAGAAAAAUCUUGUCCGGGCAUAACUCUAAAUCUAUAAGAGAUAUCAACAUGAAACUUUGUAGGUGAAUAGAUCUCAAUGGGUAGAUGUGCAGUGCAUAAGAACAAUAACUCUUUUUGUCCUAAUUUUGGAGUUAUUGUCCUUUGUUAAUUUUAACACUAAACAUUGUCCGGAACAUAACUCUAAAAUUAUAAGAGAUAUCAAGAUGAAACAUUGUAGGUAGAUAGAUCUCAUUGAGUAGAAGUGCAGUGCAAAAAAAACAUAACUCUGUUAAGCCUCAUUUUUGAAUUAUCUCCCCUUUUAGAAAAAUCUUGUACUGGACAUAGCUGUAAAACUAUAAGAGAUAUCAACAUGAAACUUUGUAGGUAGAUGUAUCUCAAUGGGUAGAUGUGCAGUGCAUGAGAAUCAUAACUCUGCCUUGCCUAAUUCUGGAGUUAUUGCCAUUUGUUUAUUUUUACUUUUUGAAGUUGUCCGGAACAUAACUGGAAAACCAUAAGAGAUAUAAAAAAGAAACUUUGUAAGUUGAUAGAUAACAGUGAUUAGAAGUGCAGUGCAAAGAACAGUAACUCUGCCUUUCCUAAUUUUGGAAUUAUUGCACUUUGAACUUUUUCCAGGGACAUAACUCAGAAAACUACAAGAGGUGUACUUUCCUGUGUCCAAAACCUAUUCGGGGAGCAUCACCCGGCUCAAACCGGGCUCUUGUUUGUUUAGGCAAUUGGUAUAAUUAAAGUGAAUCAAAAGUAGUAUGAUAGUCAAAAUACUACUAAAAGUGUAAUGUCCCCUUCGAAAAAGAGUGUUUUGCUAAUGUCAGUCUGUCUGUUGGUCUGUCCGUCGGUAGACCACAUAGUUUCCGCUGAAUAUCUUGACAACUGUUUAUCACAGAGUCUUCAUAUUUCACAUAGUGAUUGGCAAUAACUAGUUGAUGAUCACUAUUGAUUUUAAGUCACUUGGUCAAAGGUCAAGGUCACAGGAGCCAUAAAUGUCAAAAUGGUUUCCGUUGAUAAUCUUGAAAAGCAUUUAUCACAAAUUUGUCAUAUUUUACUUAAUGAUUGGCCAUAGUUAGUAGAUGACGCCUAUUUAUUUUGGAGUCACUUUGUCAAAGGUCAAGGUCACAGGAGCCAUAAAUGUCAGAAUGGUUUCCGUUGUUUAUCUUGAAAAGUAUUCAUCACAAAGCCUUCAUAUAUCAUUAUUGAUUGGUCAUAACUAGUAAAUGACCCCUAUUGAUUUUAGGGUCACUAGGUCAAAGGUCUAGGUCACAGGGGCCUUGAAUGGUAGUAUGAUUUCUGCUUAUGAUCUUGAAUACUAUUUAUCACAAAGUCACAUAGUGAUUGAUAAUAACCAACAGGUAUUGCUUUUGGGGUCACUAGGUCAAAGGUCAAGGUCACAGAGGCCUUUAAUGUCAGAAUGGUUUCCACUUAUUAUCUUAAAAUCUAUUUAUCACAAAUUCUUCAUAUUUCACAUACUGGUUGGUUUAAUAACUAGUAAGUGACCCCUUUUGAUUUUAGGGUCACUAGGUCAAGGUCAUAGGGUUCUUGAAUAUAAGAAUUGUGUCCGCUCAUUAUCUUGAAAGCCAUUUAUCACAAAGUCUUCAUAUUUCUAAUAUUGAUUGGUCAUAAUAAUAAGAUGACCCCGAUUGGUUUUGUGUCACUAGUUCAAAGGUGAAGGUCACAGGGGCCUUAAAUGUCUCAUUAUCUUGCAAAUUAUUUAUCAUAAAGUCUUCAUUAUUUUUGUUUUUCCAUCAUUGAACAUUUCCAUGUACCCAUUUAUGGAAAGUUUCUAUAACAAAAUUACCAAUAAUAUGAGUCAAGGGCUAGAAAAGGGGGCAUAUAUGUCGUUCGACAUUUCUUGUUUACAAUUUAUUACCUUUAAUACACAUUACUGCAGGUUCAGUGCUAUUUUCACUUGUUAAACAUCUAACAUGCUCUUGAAACAUUAUUAAAACAUUAUUUAAGAAAUGCUUGACUUUUCUGGAGAAUAUUUAUUUUCUGAGGCAUAAUGUGCCUUGUUAGUAUAGCGCAGUGUUUGUUGCGUAUGGGAGUUGCGUUUAUUGAACGCCGCCUUUCCUUGUUGAUCAAGUUUAUCAUAUUUUGUUAAUUUGCCUUAAGGGUAUUACAAAUGUAUUGUUUUGUAAAAAGUUUUUGAAGUGUGUAUGAUAUUUACAGAUUUGUUUUUUUACAGUUUCGCUCUUCUUUGUAAUAAUUUUCUGAACAAACAUUCACGUAAAUUGUUUUUAUUUUUGUGAUACACGGAAAUUAUGUAUAUGAAAAUACAUUAUAAUUCAUAAUGAUUUUGACAGGUUUUAUUGCCCAGUAUAACAAGCUUAAAGUAUAUAAGCUGAGUCACCAAAUGAUGGUUAUAUAACAAACAACAUUUUGUGCACAGCCAUACUACAUGUUAUAAGUCUUUAUAACCAAAUAAUAAUUUUGUUAUCUUGCUCCCUUUGCUUUGAAACAAUUAAUGGUAAUAUGCAUUUGCAGUGUAUAUUUUUAGUUAUAAAGAUUCUGAAUUUGCACAUAUAAUCUGAGCUGAUAGGUGAAAAUUAAAUAACUGUUUAAAUAUGGCUAUAUAACCUAUAAGUAAUUUGAUAAUGAAUUUAUAAUACAGCAAAGUUCCUUCAUUACAGAAAAUAAAUAGUUAAUAAAUUGACAGAGAGGUGUAUAUAGUAUAUAUAAACGUCAUGAUUAUCCAAUGAAAAGUGAUGUUUCCAGCAUACAGUAAUGUUUCAUUAAACUGUAUAUUUGAGUUACCAUGUAUUUAUUUUUAGCUAGUGUAUGUAUUAUUUUAUUUAUAAAUAAUCUUUGUUUGUGGAGUGAUAUCACUUUAAAGCUACAAGCCUCAUAGAUAAGGAGUGCUUUCGAAUAGUGUACAAUUUAGAGAUAAAUUUGAUAACAAUAUUAGCAGACUUUAGUAUUAUUGAUAAUACAUAGUCAUUUCUGAACAAUAGCAAUAUCAAAUUGCACGUUUUGUCUAAUCUGUACAUAAUAUGUGUAAUGGAUAGAUAUGAUAGGAAUAGCAUGCAAUUCAAGCAGUUACUUUUAGAUUCAUGCUUUUUUUUUUCAUGAAAAUUUUGAAAUUGUAUUUAAAGUUAAAUAUUGUGAAGUGAAAAAAGUAAUUGACACAUUGCAAACAGCGCCUAUAAUCCACGUAAAUUACCAAAAAGAACUAUGUUGUAAUGCCCCUCCUUACAUGUAAGCUAGUAACGAAGAAGUAUGUUGAUGUAACAUUCUGUAUUUAAAUAUGUCAUUAAUCAUACAAAACAUGUAAAUUAAUAAUUUAAUCCUAUAUAUUUUUACUUUUCUUUAAAUCCUGGUACAAUAUUUUCAAAUUUUAUUUUAUUGAAAUAUUUUAGCAUCAUCUGGAGACAUGCAGCUUUAAAGAGUUGAAUAUAUUUUUUAUUUGAAUUCGUUUAUAUAGAUAUGCUUAUUACAUAAAUUUCUGUGUUAAUAUCUGAGUGUAUAGAAAGUUAGAUAAUAAGAGGAAAUGUUUUCGGUUGAAUGAAAUAUUUUUAAUAUAUUUUCACAAAACAUGAUGAAAUUCCAUAUAUUUCACGAGCCAGAAAGGCGAGUGAAAUAUAUAGAAUUUUAUCAUGUUAAGUGCAAACAUAUUCUAUAUUUCACGAAAAAAUAACCUUUUUAUUUAGUUUUUCUUGGAAGAAUAAAAGUGGUUUACGAAUACACCUAUUUAUCAUGCAGUUGCAAUUGUACAGAGUGCAGUCAUGCAUUGAUUAUUUAUAGGUGCAUGAAGCGGUUCGAAUUCAAUACAAAAUUUAUCGUAGCCAUUAAA
Ruditapes philippinarum (Manila clam) is the source of this 5156-nucleotide long non-coding RNA. RefSeq lists it as uncharacterized. Lineage: Eukaryota; Metazoa; Mollusca; Bivalvia; Venerida; Veneridae. The transcript is spliced from 2 exons. The record is from RefSeq and is a predicted model, not a curated record.